CUGGCUCAGGACGAACGCUGGCGGCGUGCCUAAUACAUGCAAGUCGAGCGGACUAAUGGGAGCUUGCUCCCGUUAGUUAGCGGCGGACGGGUGAGUAACACGUGGGCAACCUACCUGUAAGACUGGGAUAACUUCGGGAAACCGGAGCUAAUACCGGAUGAAAUAAAGGAACUCCUGUUCCUUUAUUGAAAGAUGGCCUCGGCUAUC
This 207-nucleotide ribosomal RNA is filed under the name Bacillus sp. UNCCL81. RNAcentral describes it as "16S rRNA. Bacterial SSU". It matches the Rfam family "Bacterial small subunit ribosomal RNA", at positions 19 to 222 of the family's 1533-position model. The record is from RNAcentral. Lineage: Bacteria; Bacillati; Bacillota; Bacilli; Caryophanales; Bacillaceae.